UACGAAGGGGGCUAGCGUUGCUCGGAAUCACUGGGCGUAAAGCGCACGUAGGCGGCUUUCUAAGUCAGGGGUGAAAUCCUGGAGCUCAACUCCAGAACUGCCUUUGAUACUGGAGAGCUUGAGUCCGGGAGAGGUGAGUGGAACUCCGAGUGUAGAGGGGAAAUUCGUAGAUAUUCGGAAGAACACCAGUGGCGAAGGCGGCUCACUGGCCCGGUACUGACGCUGAGGUGCGAAAGCGUGGGGAGCGAACGGG
Molecule: ribosomal RNA, 253 nt
Filed under: uncultured bacterium
Lineage: Bacteria
Description: partial 16S ribosomal RNA
Rfam family: Bacterial small subunit ribosomal RNA
Source: RNAcentral